RNAcentral lists this ribosomal RNA (425 nucleotides) under uncultured bacterium. Its description in RNAcentral is "partial 16S ribosomal RNA". It matches the Rfam family "Bacterial small subunit ribosomal RNA", at positions 354 to 796 of the family's 1533-position model. The record is from RNAcentral.
GUGGGGAAUCUUAGACAAUGGGCGCAAGCCUGAUCUAGCCAUGCCGCGUGAGUGAUGAAGGCCCUAGGGUUGUAAAGCUCUUUCAGCUGGGAAGAUAAUGACGGUACCCGGAGAAGAAGCCCCGGCUAACUUCGUGCCAGCAGCCGCGGUAAUACGAAGGGGGCUAGCGUUGCUCGGAAUUACUGGGCGUAAAGGGCGCGUAGGCGGACAGUUUAGUCAGAGGUGAAAGCCCAGGGCUCAACCUUGGAAUUGCCCUUGAUACUGGCGAUCUUGAGUAUGAGAGAGGUAUGUGGAACUCCGAGUGAAGAGGUGAAAUUCGUAGAUAUUCGGAAGAACACCAGUGGCGAAGGCGACAUACUGGCUCAUUACUGACGCUGAGGCGCGAAAGCGUGGGGAGCAAACAGGAUUAGAAACCCCGGUAGUUC